GGGGAUAACAUUUGGAAACAGGUGCUAAUACCGCAUAACAACGAAAACCACAUGGUUUUCGUUUCAAAGAUGGUUUCGGCUAUCACUUCAGGAUGGGCCCGCGGUGCAUUAGCUUGUUGGUAGGGUAACGGCCUACCAAGGCAAUGAUGCAUAGCCGAGUUGAGAGACUGAUCGGCCACAAUGGAACUGAGACACGGUCCAUACUCCUACGGGAGGCAGCAGUAGGGAAUCUUCCACAAUGGGCGCAAGCCUGAUGGAGCGACACCGCGUGAGUGAAGAAGGGUUUCGGCUCGUAAAGCUCUGUUGUUGAUUAUUAACGUGCGUGAGAGCAACUGUUCACGCAGUGACGGUAUUCAACCAGAAAGUCACGGCUAACUACGUGCCAGCAGCCGCGGUAAUACGUAGGUGGCAAGCGUUAUCCGGAUUUAUUGGGCGUAAAGCGAGCGCAGGCGGUUGCUUAAGUCUGAUGUGAAAGCCUUCGGCUUAACCGAAGAAGUGCAUCGGAAACUGAGCGACUUGAGUGCAGAAGAGGACAGUGGAACUCCAUGUGUAGCGGUGGAAUGCGUAGAUAUAUGGAAGAACACCAGUGGCGAAGGCGGCUGUCUGGUCUGCAACUGACGCUGAGGCUCGAAAGCAUGGGUAGCGAACAGGAUUAGAUACCCUGGUAGUCCAUGCCGUAAACAAUGAGUGCUAGGUGUUGGGAGGGUUUCCGCCCUUUAGUGCCGCAGCUAACGCAUUAAGCACUCCGCCCUGGGG
This 756-nucleotide ribosomal RNA is filed under the name uncultured bacterium. RNAcentral describes it as "bacterial SSU rRNA". It matches the Rfam family "Bacterial small subunit ribosomal RNA", at positions 139 to 878 of the family's 1533-position model. The record is from RNAcentral.